UACGGAGGGUGCAAGCGUUAUCCGGAUUUACUGGGUUUAAAGGGUGUGUAGGCGGGCUUUUAAGUCAGUGGUGAAGUCUUUCCGCUUAACGGAAAAACUGCCAUUGAUACUAUUAGUCUUGAAUAUUGUUGAGGUAGGCGGAAUAAGUCAUGUAGCGGUGAAAUGCAUAGAUAUGACUUAGAACACCAAUUGCGAAGGCAGCUUACUAAACAAUGAUUGACGCUGAGGCACGAAAGCGUGGGGAUCAAACAGG
Molecule: ribosomal RNA, 253 nt
Filed under: uncultured bacterium
Lineage: Bacteria
Description: partial 16S ribosomal RNA
Rfam family: Bacterial small subunit ribosomal RNA
Source: RNAcentral